Molecule: non-coding RNA, 4012 nt
Organism: Oryctolagus cuniculus (rabbit)
Lineage: Eukaryota; Metazoa; Chordata; Mammalia; Lagomorpha; Leporidae
Source: RefSeq, a predicted model, not a curated record
UUUUAACAGACUUUUUUGGAUAACAGAUUUUUUCUUGGAUCUUAGGUUUUUUUUUUAUCAUAGAGGAUAAUGUCAACAGCAAGCAGAGAUAAUUUUUUAAAAGAUUUAUUUAUAUAUUUGAAAGAGUAGCAGAGACAGGAAAAGCAGAUAAGGGGAGAUGUUCCAGCUACUGGUUCACUGUCCAAAUAGCCCGGUGCUAGGAGUUUCAUCUGGGUCACCCAGAUGGGUGGCAGGGCCCAAGUACUUGGCCUGUUUUUAACUUCUUUCUCAGGCCAAUAGCAAGGAGCUGGAUCAGAAUUGGAGUAGCCAGGACACAAACAAGCUGCCAUUAGGACAUGGCAACACAGGAGAAGCUUUAUCCUCAAUGCCAUGCCAACCCCACGCAGAGAUAAUUUUAUUUCUUGCCUUCUGAUUUCUUUUUCUUCUCUAAGUCCUCCUACAGGAUAGCUAGUACUUAGUACUAAGUUGAAAAAAAAAAGUAGCAAAAUUGGGCAAACUUGCCUUGUAGCUAAUUUCUCUUUGCUUAUGGAGUUAGCUGUGUGGUUUUCAUAUACAGCUCUUACUGUGCAAAGCUGGGUUCCUCCAGUAUCAGGUUUUUUUGAGUUUUUAAUCAUGAAUGGAUGUUAACAGAUGUCAAAUGCUCUUUUUGCAUGUGUUGAGAUGAUUCUUUUUCUUUCAUUUUGUCAGUGUGCUCUAUCACAUUUUUUGUUAGCAAAUCCUGAACAGUUCCAAAGAUUAUUACCACUUGGUCAUGAUCCUUUUAGUAAAUAUACUGUUAAUUUCAACUUACUGAUUUUUUUAAGGAUGUUUGCAUCUUUGAUCAUCAGCAAUAUUAGACUGUAGGGUUUUUUUUGUUGUUGUUACUUGUAGUUGUUUGCCUGUUUUUCUUAUAAAGGCAUUUAAAUUUUUUUUCCUUAUUUGAAAGGCAGAGAGACAGAGAUAGAGACAGAAAUACACAGAGAGAUCUUCCACUAUCUCAUUCACUCUCUGAAAGUCUUUUUCAACCAGGACUGGGCCAUGCCAAAGUCAGGAUCAUGGAACUCAAUCUAGGUCUCCCAUAGGGUGGCCAGUAUUCAAGGGCUUGAGGCAUCACGUGUUGCCUCCCAAGGUGCACAUUAGCAGGAAUAGGGAUGAGAAGAGGAGCUGGAACUCUAACUCUAGCACUCUGAUGUGGGAUUCAGGCAUCCCACGAGGAAUCCUAAAUACCAGGCCAAACAUCAGCCACACCUUUUACUCAUCAAGGCUAUGUUGGAAAGUUAUUUUCUGGAAGAGUUAGGAAGAACUGGUGUCAAUUCUUUGCAUGUUUUAUAAAUUCAGCCAUGAUGUCAUGCAGCCCUGGGCUCUUCUUGGAAAAUUUUUGAUUACUUAUGCCAUCUCCUUAUUUGUUACUGGUCUAUUCAGGUUUUCUAUUCCACCUUGACUCAAUGUGGCAACUCGGAUAUUUCUAGAAAUUUACCCAUUUUAUCUAGAUUACCAAUAUUUUUGGAAUAUAAUUGCUAACAGGGGUCAAUUAUGAUCCCUUUACCUCUGCGGCAUCUGUUGCAGUGUCUUCUCUUUCAGUUCAGAUUUUAUAUAUCUGCAUCUUCUUAACUAAGGACUUGAUUUAAAAAAAAGCUCAUUGUCAUUUUUUUCUAAUUCUUUAUUUCUGCUCUUUUAUUUCCUCUACUUUGCUAGCUUUGAGUUGAAUUUAAUGUUCUUUAUCUAGUUCUUGAGCUUAUUUUGUUCACUUGAGAUCUUUCUUUAUGCUUACAGUAGAUAUUUAUCCCUACUAACUUCUCUCUUAAUGCUGCUUUUGUCCUACCCCAUAGAUUUGGUAUGCUGUCUUUGUGUUUUCAUUUGUCUCAUCAAUGUUUUGAACUAUAAUUUGAAGCUAAUUCAAAAAUUCUCUUUGUUUCUGCCUGAGACACAGCAAGAAGGAGAAAGAGCAGGAGCAACAGUGAGAGCAAAAGCAAGUGAGCCCCAAAUGCUCACUGCAGUCUGGAGGCCCACGCUGGAAGCCACAAACUCAAUCAAGGUCUACCACAUGGGUGGCACGAACCCCACCCUGAGAUGUCACUGCCAACACACAAGAUCUGUGCCAGCAGGAAGCUGGACCAGGCGCUGGACUGAGGUCUCCCACACGGGUGGCAUGAACCCCACCUUGAGAUGUCACUGCCGGCUCACAAGGUCUGUGCUGGCAGGAAGCUAGACUCAGGAGCUGGACUGAGGGAAUGAACCCACGUACUCGAAUCUAGGAUGCAGAGCAUCCCAGCCAGGAAGCCCAGACGUACACACACAUACUUCAAGAAGGAAAAGACAUCACUAAGAACCUAACAGCCAGGAAAGCAUUCCAUAGCCCAGCGAGGGCCUCAGUUUAGAAAGGCAGAAAGAGUGGCAGAUGGAGAUGUACCAUCCAAGGGUUCAUUUCCCAAACGUUUGCAACAGCCAGAAUUGGGUCAGGCCAAAUCCAGGAGCCAGAAAUUCCAUCCAGGUCUAUCACAUCAGCAGGAAGUUGGAACCAGGAGUGGCACCAGGAUUCAAACCCACGCACUCCAAUGUGAGAUGUAAGCACCCCAAGGUAUGUCUUAACCCUUCACUAAAUGCCUACCCCUGAAACUGAGCUUUAAAAUUCCUGAAUGAUACUUCUGUGUUUUCUUAUUUGGAGGAUUGCCAGGGCUUCAAAGUGAGAUCAAAACCACUCACCAAGCCAAAACAGGUGAAGAUGACUGGUUUGCCUCUAAAAGUCCAAACUACCCUCACUCUCAGUGCCUAACUGCAAAUGAGCCAGUGAGCACACACACCUCUCAGGGAAGUGUUCACAUUUCUAUGAGCUGCAGAACAGAGGCCAGCACUGUGCUCCUUAGCAAAACAUUCCCUAGGUCUGAGAUCAACAGGACUCAGAAGUCGGACUCGAGAGGUCAUGUCAAAAUAAUAAAGCCAGCUACAGGUUCCAGUAUACUGUUCUGAUAAUGCCUCUGAACAGAACAAUUCUCUGUAGUGCUCCCAUCGCGACCAGAAAGAAUGAAAUGUAUGAAUUUGAUAGAGGACACUUGUUAUACACAAUAAAGUCACAGAUAACAGCCAGCUGCUUGAUAUGAAAAACCACAUACUUGACAUAUUCUGCUUUUAAGAACUGAUUUAUAUUCUUAUUUUAUAUUUUAAUGGUAGAGAGAAAGAGACACAGAGCUUAUCUUCCACUGCUAGUUCACUCCCGCAGGCCUACAACAGCUGGGGCCCGGAGAGGUGGAAAUCGGGGGUUAGGAGCUCAGUCUGAGUUGCCCAUGUAGGUGGCAAAGACCCAAGUACUAGAGCCAUCAUCUGCUACUGCCCCAGGUGAGCAUUAAUAAAAAACCUGGAACUGGGAGCAGAGCUGGGAUUCAAGCCCAGGCACUCUGAUAUGGGAUGCAAGCGUCUCAAGCGGCGUUUCAACCACUGUGCCACACACUGACCCCGUACUAACUGAUUAAGACAAAGGGACCAAGGGAGUAAAUGAACACGGUGUCACUUAAACUCCACAUGUACUUUUUAAAUCUGUGUCUCAGAACGCACUUGUCAAUCACAACUAUUUCUAAACAAUGCCAUAUAUUUUCCGAAAAUAUUUUGUGUUCUCCUAAGGCAAAAUAUAACACUAAGCAGAAGUGAAAAAUCACAUCAUAAUUAGAAAUUUUGUGAAAAAAAUCUUAAUAUCCUCAAUAUUGGAAUAUGGCUCUUUAUACAGCUAUUGCAAAAAAUAACCUAAUAACAUUAGUAUAAUGUUACAAUAAUAUAGCAGCCAUGUGAAAUGGCAAUACUGACAUAUUAAGGAGAAUGUUACGACAAACACAUAUAAUGUAUUCAAUUUGAUAUUAACAACAAUUCUCUGACAUAAGGGCAGAAUUACUCUAAUUCCGUGGAUGACUGUGUACUGCACUUGAAGAAGCAAUUAACAUCUUUUCCAAGACAUGAGAAGCACACUCUGCCUGGUCAGAAUGCCAGCUUUGGUUCUAGAACUUAAGUUCAUUCUGAAUCCUAAAUUGGAGUGAUGAAACCCUGC